This 748-nucleotide long non-coding RNA is filed under the name Mus musculus (house mouse). RNAcentral describes it as "long non-coding RNA chr10:117594184-117594932". The record is from RNAcentral. Lineage: Eukaryota; Metazoa; Chordata; Mammalia; Rodentia; Muridae.
CCUGCCUGCUGCCUUUGCAUCCCGUCCUGUGCGGACCACCAUGGACGUGCAGGCGCAGAGGCCACCUUUGUUGGAAGUGAAGAGGAAUGUAGAGCUGAAGACAAGCCUGGUCAAGUUCUCCUCCCGAGUGCCCCGUCAGCAAGCAGGCUCAAGAGAGGUCCUGACCAGAUGGAGGAUGCCUUGGAGCCCGUAAAGAAACGGACACGAGGCAUGGGUGCAGUGACCAAAGUUGACAUAUCCCGUCCCAGAGGACCACUCUUCAGCACAGUGUCACAGACCCAGGGCCACACUGCAGCUCAGAAAGGCCCUAAGAAGGCAGGACCUCGUGGGUGCUCUACUGUUGGUACAGUGCUGAGGAACCAGAAGCCAGCUCCCACUGUUCCUGCCCAGAAGCCUGGCACAUCCACUGCUCCUGUAGUGGUAAGGAAGAGACCUGGCAAACGCCCUUGCCUGGGACCUGAAGGGCCAGUUGUUUGACCUCAGUGAAGAGUUGAAACGCUAUCGGGAGAAGACUCAAACGCUGGAACGGGAGAACCGGGGGCUUCGGAAACAUCUCAGAGAGGUCCAGGAGCAGGCCACGACCCUGGGGACAGAGCAGAGCACCCUGGAAGGGGAGCUGGCCAAUGUACGCACCCGAGCUGAGCAGGACCAGCAGAGACUGGAGAUGCUGAGUGCCUGUGUCUUGGAGCUGGAGGAAUAUCUGGGUACCACGGAAAGGUUGGUUCAGGAGCUUCAGAGAGAGCGGCUG